CUGUCUUUUUCUUGAUGAACGCUGCCUCACAGGUGAGGAUGAGGAUGAUGUAGCAGUAACAGGGGCAGGUGAUGAACUUUUCCUCACAGAUGAGGAUGAGGAUGAUGUAGCAGUAACAGGGGCAGGUGAUGAACGCUGCCUCACAGGUGAGGAUGAGGAUGAUGUAGCAGUCACAGGGGCAGGUGAUGAACGCUGCCUCACAGGUGAGGAUGAGGAUGAUGUAGCAGUCACAGGGGCAGGUGAUGAACUUUUCCUCACAGGUGAGGAUGAGGAUGAUGUAGCAGUCACAGGAGCAGGUGAUGAACGCUGCACAGAAGACCAAAGACACAAAAAGAAAUACCACAGAUGUAAACAAAAAGUAAAUAUAAAUGCUUGCUUAAUUCAAAGUGCAUUGAUUUAGUUUAAGGGCAAGACAAAUGCAUUUGGAACAAAUAAUGUUU
Cyprinus carpio carpio is the source of this 440-nucleotide long non-coding RNA. NCBI's taxonomy places the organism in Eukaryota, Metazoa, Chordata, Actinopteri, Cypriniformes, Cyprinidae. The record is from Ensembl.